CAUGCAAGUCGAGCGGUAGCACAGAGAGCUUGCUCUCGGGUGACGAGCGGCGGACGGGUGAGUAAUGUCUGGGAAACUGCCUGAUGGAGGGGGAUAACUACUGGAAACGGUAGCUAAUACCGCAUAAUGUCGCAAGACCAAAGUGGGGGACCUUCGGGCCUCAUGCCAUCAGAUGUGCCCAGAUGGGAUUAGCUAGUAGGUGGGGUAACGGCUCACCUAGGCGACGAUCCCUAGCUGGUCUGAGAGGAUGACAAG
RNAcentral lists this ribosomal RNA (255 nucleotides) under Klebsiella pneumoniae. RNAcentral's name for it is "partial 16S ribosomal RNA". It matches the Rfam family "Bacterial small subunit ribosomal RNA", at positions 54 to 307 of the family's 1533-position model. The record is from RNAcentral. Lineage: Bacteria; Pseudomonadati; Pseudomonadota; Gammaproteobacteria; Enterobacterales; Enterobacteriaceae.